This 496-nucleotide ribosomal RNA is filed under the name uncultured bacterium. RNAcentral's name for it is "partial 16S ribosomal RNA". It matches the Rfam family "Bacterial small subunit ribosomal RNA", at positions 28 to 506 of the family's 1533-position model. The record is from RNAcentral.
GAUGAACGCUGGCGGCGUGCCUAAUACAUGCAAGUCGAGCGAACAGACGAGGAGCUUGCUCCUCUGACGUUAGCGGCGGACGGGUGAGUAACACGUGGAUAACCUACCUAUAAGACUGGGAUAACUUCGGGAAACCGGAGCUAAUACCGGAUAACAUGUUGAACCGCAUGGUUCAACAGUGAAAGACGGUUUUGCUGUCACUUAUAGAUGGAUCCGCGCCGCAUUAGCUAGUUGGUAAGGUAACGGCUUACCAAGGCAACGAUGCGUAGCCGACCUGAGAGGGGGAUCGGCCACACUGGAACUGAGACACGGUCCAGACUCCUACGGGAGGCAGCAGUAGGGAAUCUUCCGCAAUGGGCGAAAGCCUGACGGAGCAACGCCGCGUGAGUGAAGAAGGUCUUCGGAUCGUAAAACUCUGUUAUUAGGGAAGAACAAAUGUGUAAGUAACUAUGCACGUCUUGACGGUACCUAAUCAGAAAGCCACGGCUAACUACGU